AAACCUUCAACAACGGAUCUCUUGGCUCUGGCAUCGAUGAAGAACGCAGCGAAACGCGAUAAGUAAUGUGAAUUGCAGAAUUUAGUGAAUCAUCGAAUCUUUGAACGCACAUUGCGCCCGCCAGUAUUCUGGCGGGCAUGCCUGUCCGAGCGUCAUUA
Molecule: ribosomal RNA, 158 nt
Filed under: Fusarium solani
Lineage: Eukaryota; Fungi; Ascomycota; Sordariomycetes; Hypocreales; Nectriaceae
Description: 5.8S ribosomal RNA
Rfam family: 5.8S ribosomal RNA
About the family: 5.8S ribosomal RNA (5.8S rRNA) is a component of the large subunit of the eukaryotic ribosome. It is transcribed by RNA polymerase I as part of the 45S precursor that also contains 18S and 28S rRNA. Functionally, it is thought that 5.8S rRNA may be involved in ribosome translocation.
Source: RNAcentral